UUGGACUUGCGUGUCAACAUGGCGGCUUCCAUGGCAUCCCAGGCUGUAGCGAAAGGACUGAGGAUAGCUACUUCAAAGCACAUACUUCUUGAUAAAGCGAAGUGCACCUGGUUGAGUCCGAGGAGAUGGCUGAAUCUACAGGAGUACCAGAGCAAGAAGCUGAUGCAAGAGAGUGGCGUAGCUGUCCAGCGCUUCUAUGUGGCUGACACAGCUUCUGAGGCACUGGAGGCUGCAAAGAGACUCAAUGCCAAAGAGAUCGUGCUGAAAGCUCAGAUUCUGGCCGGGGGCAGAGGCAAGGGUGUGUUCGACAGCGGCCUUAAAGGUGGAGUGCACUUAACGAAGGACCCUGCUGUCGUUGGUGAGCUGGCCAAUAAGAUGCUGGGUUUCAACCUGACUACUAAGCAGACACCAAAAGAGGGAGUGAAAGUGAAAACGGUGAUGGUUGCUGAGGCCCUGGAUAUUACCAGGGAGACAUAUUUUGCCAUCCUAAUGGACCGCUCCUGCAAUGGUCCUGUCAUAGUAGGAAGCCCCCAGGGAGGUAUGGAUAUCGAGGAGGUGGCUGCUAGCACCCCAGAACUCAUCUUUAAGGAAGCCAUAGAUAUCUUUGAAGGUGUGAGAGACGACCAGGCACUUCGCAUGGCAGCUAAUUUGGGUUUCAAAGGAGCUCUGCAGAGACAGGCAGCAGAUCAGAUUAAGAGGCUCUAUGAUCUGUUCCUGAAAGUCGACGCCACUCAAGUUGAAGUCAAUCCUCUCGGAGAGACUCCCGAAGGACAAGUGGUUUGCUUUGAUGCUAAGAUCAACUUUGAUGACAACGCUGAGUUCCGUCAGAAAAGCGUGUUUGCCAUGGACGACAUGACGGAGGCCGACCCCACGGAGAUGGCGGCAGCAAAGUGGGACCUUAAAUAUAUCGGACUGGAUGGGAACAUUGCCUGCUUUGUGAAUGGAGCUGGUUUGGCCAUGGCCACGUGUGACAUCAUUGACCUUCAUGGAGGAAAGCCAGCAAACUUCUUGGACCUGGGUGGUGGAGUCAAAGAGAAACAGGUGUACGAGGCUUUUAAGCUGCUCACUGCUGACCCAAAGGCUCAUUGUGCUGAGAGGAGUGGAUGCGACGCGAGUGUACCGCUGGCACUGAAUAGCAGAGAUGGAGCAUGAGAUGACAAAGGCUUCCUUUUCUUGUUUGCUCACUUCCCCAGUAUCUACCCUUAAAGCAUUCAUUACCUUCAAAUUAUUAUGUUGUGAAUGAAAGGGGAAGAGAAAACAGAUAAAAUGGAGGGAUACCGCAUGAGAAGUGGGAACAAGACGGGAAAGAAAGUCGGAAUGAAAUGAAUGCGAGAAAAAUAAGCGAAUCAUAGAGCUGUAUGUCACCCCCCCACCCCACCCUACCCAAGUGUGUGCGCGUGCGUGUUCGCGUUAACUAUGUGGGAUGUUAUGUAGCUCAGCUGGGUCUACUAGACCAAUAAGGUUUGUUUGAAUUUAGGCCCCCGGCUUUUUUAACAGGAACAUAUUUAUCUCCCAUGCUAAAAUAAAUAGCUCCACUUUCUUCACAUCCACGCGUGGAACAGUUUGAUGACAGAAUGCCUGAAUUUAUUGAGGUUUUCCUCACAUCACCUGUAGGCACAGGAGCAGGCAGCAAAUACCAACAGCCAAAUAACCUCGUUAUUGCCUUGCGCCUGUGCCGUAAAGAAGGUGGCAGAUGGAUGUUUUGUCCAACUCGACAUCCAUUUUGUUCUCGGGGCUUAAGGCUGUUUUCUAUAAUUUUUAUAGGCUAGAGUAAAUGAUGACAUUUUUCUAAAACACACUCUUGUUGUGGCUAGAUGCCCGUAUCAGGGCCGCCAUUAUAUCAACCUACUAAUUGUCAAGGCGGCUUGUUUUGUGAUUUAUUGUGUCGCUGUUACGUAAUUAAUAUUCUAUUCAAGUAGGCCGAGCGUUUUCGUAAUACUUUAACCUUUCAUUCCCAUAUUCAUGCGUCUCACUGCGAAUGCAUAAAGGAGUCCUUUUCAAAGGUUUAUUACAAUGCGAAACAUCUAAAGCCCUGAUCUUAUCUGCGACUACGGCAAACUCGAUGUUUUCAAAUGAAUGAGAAAAUAAGCACGUACGUGCAGCCUGUCGGUAAAUGAACAUGUCGUGCUGACUCAUGAGUGUGUGUGGGAAGCUUGGUUAACAUUACAUUGAGUUUGUGCAUCUCAUGUGUUCACAGAUCAGCCUUUUGUUCCAAAUUUACUGUAAUGCAAACCAAAGUCGGCAGUAGAGAGGCAGCGCGGUGAUCCUGGGGAUGAAUACUGAGGUUCUUUCUGUUUCUUGACCGACAGUUCCCCAUUUCCAUUUUACAAUUUAUGAAAACUACAGAAUCCAAAGCAGUCUGACUUUAAAAAUGAACUGGCUUUCGGUGUAGAUAACGUCUUCCCCUUCCAGAAUAAGGUUGUGUUGCGGUGUUGCUCGAAGGAGAGUUGAAUUUCCAAAGUGAGCGAGCUGUCAGUGUUCUGCCGCCCACUCAGUUGUUUCUGCGUGUGUUCAAAGAGAUGGCGAUGAAGAAAGAACAAAAGUAUAAUGUGUUGAAAGUUGUAAAUAAUAUAAAAACUGGGAAAUAUUUCAUUAAAGCGAGGAAAUUACACAUUUAUGUAUCAGAUAUGAUAAUAAUGAAAACAGCUAUUCUUACAUUGUGACCUUAAACAUACAGGCUGUGUUUGUUUCUGCAUCUUAUGACAGAUAUUCUAUCUUUUUUCUUCUUUGUACAUUGUUACCUUUAGGCUUGUUGCAUACUGCAGUAGUUUGUCACGUCUCUGCGUUGUUUAAGGUGAAGCAGGCACGCUAUGAGGUGAAAGAGGCACAGACGGGCACAUUAGCAUUAGUAAGCCGGGGGACCUGCCUCUGAGGCAAAAACAAGAGUCGUGUACAUAUUCAUUUUUUGGAGUUGCAUAAUCACGCUGUCGAUCGUGAAACAUCUUUUAGCUCGCACUGGUUUGUGUGUUUGUGUGCGCGCGUGUGAGUGUGUGUGUGCGUGUGUGAGUGUGAAGGCAGUUUGAAAUGCUGAGACUCACCUGUGUGUAUGUAAUUUCGAGUUUCUCCCUCAGAGAGCUCUCCCUCCAUUCUCACUUGCUCUCUCCCUCCCUCUCGCUCUCUUUGUGUGAGAUUAUUAUGCGUGUCGCUCCAGCCCCCCCAUUGCCCUCAAAGAAAACUACACACAAUUUUACCUCUUUCCAGCUCAGUGACUCUGCUUUAACUCACCUGUGGUUCCCCUUUAACCACUUUCCUCGUUGUUGCAGUGACACUCCCGAGCCCUGCCGGCUCUAAGCCCCAUCUCACCCUCUACAGGGAACACACCACUAUUACUACCUCUCCAGCACUGUCUUAUGUUAUCUGUGAAACAGUCUUUACUGGUGUUAUACACCACUACUUAUGUGCUGAUGUAUACCCAGGCAUUUCCUGUCUGCUCCUGCUAGUCUGUCAUUUCACUAGUUCUUCUUGUGUUUUCUGCUUCUCUUUCUCCACCUUUUAUCUCUCCUUCUUUGUGCUUCUUCUUUCUUCCCAGCAGACUUUCAUCUCACUAAAUCCUGUUAAAGUCAAUGUGAAGAGCUUCCUUCAGUUUCAUGCCUGCUAGUUAAAUCCUGCAGGUGCCCAGGCACUGUUUCUCAUCCCUGUAUGGAGAUGUCUGUACCCGUGUCCAGUGUGCUCCACAUGUAUGCAGACAGAGAAAAGGGAAGAGGGCUCAGGUCCAAGCCAGGAGCAUUUUGUCAUCACAGCACCUGGUUCACACCACGGGGCCAGGGGGAGCCAGUCAGCGAUCAGAUAGGGCCUUUGGAUGCCACAGGGAGGUUGAAGCCAUCCUGGUCAACAUCUUUGGGGGCAUUGUUAAUUGUGCCAUCAUUGCCAAUGGCAUCACCAAAGCUUGCCGAGAGCUGGAGCUCAAAGUGCCACUGGUGGU
Molecule: RNA transcript, 3922 nt
Organism: Pelmatolapia mariae (spotted tilapia)
Lineage: Eukaryota; Metazoa; Chordata; Actinopteri; Cichliformes; Cichlidae
Gene: suclg2
Gene name: succinate-CoA ligase GDP-forming subunit beta
Exons: 12
Source: RefSeq, a predicted model, not a curated record